AGGGUUCACGGGUGGCCUACAGGCAAGAACUUGUACAGCUGACCUAUGAACACAAAUGACUUUUUUUUCUUUUCUUUUUUUUUUGGUGAUCACACACUAUGACAAUAGAUAUACUUGCAGAAAAAAACAGUAAAUUUUCAUGUUUAACGAACAAGUAUCACUGUUGCAGAGAAAAUGUUAUGUGAUCAUUAGUGAGUGACAAUCAUGUGCUUGUUCAUGCCAGUAAAGUUCAGAUUUAACUGUGCAUUUCAAUUGUCAGCAGUAGAGUGUGUCUGAAUGAAGAAGUUUUUAUCAUUAAGUGAAAGGCAAAUGAAACAUUACUGUAAGUGUUGUUAGGUACACACUGAGCAUACUUGGUCCAUGAGCUCCAGUCCCCUGAGACCAUAAUGUUACUUCAGGUGGAAUAGCAGCGAUAGCUGAUCAGAGUUCUCCACCUGCUGGACAAAAAUUGUAAACUCCACUCCACAGGUGUUUACUGGCUGUAGAGGGGGUUUCGAUCUAUGGAAGUCUAUGACCAUCUCCUUUGUCUUUGAGGUGUUGAGGAGGAGGCAGUUUUUGUGACUCUAGUCACUGAAGGCUCUUAUCAGAUCUCUGUAUUCAGCUUCUUGUCCAUUUCUGAUACAUGCCAUGAUAGCAGUGUCAUGUGAGUAUUUCUGGAUGUGGCAGGACUCAGCGUUGUAUUUGAAGUCUGACGUGUACAUUGUGAACAGGAAUGGCGCCAGCACUGUCCCUUGUGGAGCCCCUGUACUGCUCAUUAAUGUCCCAGAAACACAGUUCCCCAGCCUGACAAACUGUGGCCUUCCUGUCAGGUAAACUGUGAUCCAGGAAACACAGGAAGGAUCCACUCCCAUCUCUGUGAGCUUGUCUUUGAGUAUGGUGGGUUGGAUGGUGUUGAAUGCACUUGAAAAGUUGAAGAACAUGAUCCUCACAUAAACCCCAGGUUCCCUCAGAUGAGACAGGGCACAGUGAAGCAUGUAGAGGACAGCAUCAUCCACUCCAAUGUGUUCUUUGUAUGCAAACUGCAGGGAAUCCAGUUUGUCUCUGACCCUAGACAGCAUAGGAUCAGCCGCUCCAGGGUUUUCAGGAUGUGUGAACUGAGGGCCACUGGUCUGUAGUCAUUGAGUUCAGCAGGACAUUUUGUUUUUGGCACAAUGUAGGAUGUUUUCCACAGAGCAGGUACCCGCCCCAGCUGUCGACUCGGGUUGAAGAUCCUGUGGAGAGGUUGACACAGUUCUGCAGCACAAUCUCUAAGCAGCCUUGGACACACACCAUCUGGACCAGCUGCCCUUCCAGGACAAAGUCUUCCAAGCUCCAUCCUCACCCCUGUUUCGGUGACAGACAAGGACUGGUGUUCUAGGAGGGAGGCAGUUGAAGUGGUUGAGACAUUUGAAUGAGAUGGAGGAGGAAGGGGAGAAGUUGUAGUGGGGAUUUAGAGGAAGGUGGAGUAGCAGUGGAAGUGGGAGUGACAGCAGUGUCAAAUCUGUUGAAGAACAGGUUGAGUUCAUCAGCUCUUUCCAGAUCACCCACCACUGGCUGUCUUUUCUUUUUACUGCUGUGUCCAGAGAUGGUACUGAUUCCUCUCCACACUUCACGGAUGUUGCUGUGUUGUAGAUUCUUCUCUAUCUUCUUUUUGUACUCCAGCUUUGCCAUCUCCAGUCUCCUCUUCAACUCUUGUUGCACUUGUUUGAGUCGUUCUUUGUCACCAUCUUUAAAAGCUUUCUUUUUCUGGUUAAGGAUUGCUUUUAUGUCUCUUGUGAUCCAGGGUUUGUUGUUGGGGAAACAGCGAACAGUUUUUGUGGGUAUAACUGUGUCUCUACAGAAGUUGACAUAUUCUGUAAAGCAGUCAACCUGUUUAUCAAUGUUCAUACUAUCCACAUCUGUUUCCAGCAGCACAUUCCAGUCUGUUGAUUUAAAACAGUCCCUUAGAACCUCACUGGCUUGAGAUGGUCCAUCUUCUGAUUUUGACUUUGGUCACAGGCUGCCUCAGCACACAAGGUCUGUAACAGGUUUGCAGACAGACCAAGUUAUGAUCUGACUUGCCCAGUGGUGGUAAGGCAGCAGCUCUGUAGGCUUCUUUGACGUUGGCAUACAGCAGAUCCAGGGUUUUGUUUUCUCUGGUAGGACAGUUCACAAACUGUGUGAAUCCAGUCAGGUGAGAGGAGAGGGUGACAUGGUUUAAGUCUCCUGAUAUUAUUAUUAUUAUUAGUGCCUCAGGGUGUUGAGUCUGUAGCCUGGCAACACUAUUUUGCAAAACAUUGCACAGAUAUGAUAUAACUAAAUUCUCUUGGAACAUAAUAACAAUUAAGUAAAUUUACUCUUGUCUUGCAUUUUACUGUUACUGUCAAAAAAAAAAAACUUUUCAGAGACAUUGGAAAAUAAGGGCUUCACUUGAAAAUGCAUUUGAAUUGUAUUAUCUAGGAAAAGAUAUUGAAUGUUUAUUUAGGUUUAUCAUUAUCUUAACCUUUAACAAGCAUUUUAGUUAUGUAACUUUGAUGAACUGCUCAUGAAUUAAUUACAGAUAUAAUUUAAAAGAAUCCCAUUUACCAGAUGUCACUUCAAAGUAAGUGUCACUGCAACAAUAUAUUCCCUUUCAUUGUCUGCAGUAAAAUCAGUACUCUUACAAUGAAUGCAUAUUGCAUAAGAAAAAAACUACUCAGACAUUACAAUAACCUUGCUAAUCAAUAUUAUCUAUUUUGCUGUGGCUACUUUACAUAAUUUAGCUACCAUUCAUGUCUAUAAAUUUGACAGGUGGCCUUUCAGCUUAGGUUCACCUUUUUUUGUGGAACAUGUCCGCAGGUCUUCUUGCCCUCUCAACCAGGAGGCUGUAAAGAAGCUGUACUAAAAUGUGCUCUUAAAUAAAACUUUCGUUGAGAAGUAAAACAGAAGAGUUUGUGUUGAUGCCCCUACACAACAUUCAAAGCAAAAAUAACUGUCAGCAACAAGAGAAUAAUUUCUGUUACUGCUGCCACUGGGUAAGUGUCAGACAAGGUCAUUUCAGUGUGCUAUCAAAACAGACUUUGUUUCACCUGUCUAAGGAAAUGCUGAUGAUUAAUUGACAGUUUUUCCUUUUUUUUUUUUGGUCAAAAACUCUGCUUUUUCGAGUGAGGGAGAAAUUAAGAAGAGAGACCUUACUCAAUUCCAUGCAAGCUGAGUCCUACUACUAAACCACUAAUAUCUGAACAAAUAUGGAUAUUUCCAGUGAGAUUUGAAAUAAAAACAGAAAUACUCAAGGACCUGAAUAAUUGGCUAAAUAAUUGCAAAUUUUUUACACAAAAAUGAAUGGUGAUAAAUGCUGUUUUUGCAAAGAUAUUGAAUUUAUAUUCUAGCAGGUAUAGUGAGUAGUUUUACAGGAAAGGAAAGCAAGAGAUACUUCAUAUUUGAUCAUAUUGUGACAGUGCAGAAAAUCACCAUUUCAUCUCCUGAGAGACCUUACAAUGACACAUAAAAGAGGUAACCAGUCUUAUAAAAAAUAUGGUACAGUUGAUGCAGUAACAAAUACAUACUUUGGGGAAUUUUUUUAUCUGUUUCUAACUACAAUCAGAUUUAAUCUCCAUAUAUUUCCAACAGUUUACAGAAAUCUAGCUGCAGCACUUUCAAAAGGGGCAUACAGGUUGUCAAAAAAGUGCAACAGGCUACUCCUCACAUUAAGUAUGAAAGGCUGUUUAGAGCUUAUAACUGACGGUUGUUUGAAAUUCUAUUUACAUCAAAACUCACCAGACAAACUAAUCGAGGAACUCUGCCCUAUUUCAGACUUGUGUCUAUAAAAGCAUAAAAAAAAGAAAGAAAUAACAAUAAAAGUGUCACACAGCACAGCACAUGGAUCGUAUCACCACAGUUCAAUCAAUUCUUAAAACUAGUCCCACCUGUGCUGCUGUGAGGCCGCAGGGGUCCCACAAGUCUACUGAGGCACAGCACUGAGCAACACAGCAGGACUGUGUAGAAAUGAACCUUUUUGUCCACCUGCCUCUCUGGCUGGUAUAUCCUCCACAGGUAGUUCCUCCUUACAGCCGACAUGAUUCAGGACGAUUUUCAUUUUUUACUGUCAUCAUCAAGCAGGAGCAUAAGGCAGAGCAUAAAAAUCAGCAGGAGAGGGGAAAUCAGAGUAUGCAGCAUAAGGGAAAUAAGGAGGAGCAACAGAAAAGAAAUGAGGAGGAAAAAUUUGAGGGACGGAGAAAAGCAUGAAGGGGAGCAGUGGGAGGUGAAGGAGGGCAGUCAGGACGAUCAGCAGGAGGAAGAGGGGCACCACUUGAGGGAAGAAAAGUAUCAUACUGUCAAAAUCUGUGCAUCCAUAAGAGAAUUAUGAAUGGUAUUCUGCUGUUGGAGUACAAUGACCACAUAUGAGCGAUAAUAACUGUUGGAGCCAUUAUUUAGUUUCUUUUGUUAGUUUCAUUUCUUGUUUCUAUUCCUUGGUUCUUUGCACCGUAAAAGGGUAUUUAAGUAAGCCCAGGUAGUGAGUCAGGUGUGAAGAGUGGAGCUAUACAGAUUUUUGACCAUGUCAGGAUGGCAGCAGGUGAACUUUCUUUGUUUUAAUGGAAAGAAAUGGGUCACCGUACUCAAAGAAAGAAUAUUGGAAUCUUGGUUUUUAUUGUCACAUCACAUGUCAGAACGAGUCGUAACUCUUCACCUAUUAGAACUCAGGUGUAUAGUCUCAGUGGAAAGACUCUACAAUAUCUGUAGUUAAGACAACAGUUAUUACACUUAGAAUAAAAGCAGACAGCAAACAGCAGCUCUGCUGCAGGGAAUAGAAACCUCAGGACAGCAUCACUGAUUUUAGACUUUGGACUCUGACUGCAUAUCAGCA
Molecule: non-coding RNA, 4801 nt
Organism: Xyrichtys novacula (pearly razorfish)
Lineage: Eukaryota; Metazoa; Chordata; Actinopteri; Labriformes; Labridae
Source: the annotation of a GenBank genome assembly